CCUACGGGAGGCAGCAGUGGGGAAUAUUGGACAAUGGGGGCAACCCUGAUCCAGCCAUGCCGCGUGUGUGAAGAAGGCCCUCGGGUUGUAAAGCACUUUCAGUGAGGAAGAACGCCUGGUGGUUAAUACCCAUCAGGAAAGACAUCACUCACAGAAGAAGCACCGGCUAACUCCGUGUCAGCAGCCGCGGUAAUACGGAGGGUGCGAGCGUUAAUCGGAAUUACUGGGCGUAAAGCGCGCGUAGGUGGCUUGAUAAGCCGGUUGUGAAAGCCCCGGGCUCAACCUGGGAACGGCAUCCGGAACUGUCAAGCUAGAGUGCAGGAGAGGAAGGUAGAAUUCCCGGUGUAGCGGUGAAAUGCGUAGAGAUCGGGAGGAAUACCAGUGGCGAAGGCGGCCUUCUGGACUGACACUGACACUGAGGUGCGAAAGCGUGGGUAGCAAACAGGAUUAGAUACCCGGGUAGUC
RNAcentral lists this ribosomal RNA (465 nucleotides) under Vreelandella stevensii. RNAcentral describes it as "partial 16S ribosomal RNA". It matches the Rfam family "Bacterial small subunit ribosomal RNA", at positions 338 to 795 of the family's 1533-position model. Lineage: Bacteria; Pseudomonadati; Pseudomonadota; Gammaproteobacteria; Oceanospirillales; Halomonadaceae. The record is from RNAcentral.